GGGGAAUCUUCCGCAAUGGACGAAAGUCUGACGGAGCAACGCCGCGUGUAUGAUGAAGGUCUUCGGAUUGUAAAGUACUGUCAUUGGGGAAGAACGGUUUUCUUGAAAAGAUUGAGAAGACAUGACGGUACCCAAGGAGGAAGCCCCGGCUAACUACGUGCCAGCAGCCGCGGUAAUACGUAGGGGGCAAGCGUUGUCCGGAAUUAUUGGGCGUAAAGGGCGCGUAGGCGGGCCUUUAAGUCCGGUGUGAAAGAUCAGGGCUCAACCCUGAGAGUGCAUCGGAAACUGGAGGCCUUGAUGACAGGAGAGGAAAGUGGAAUUCCACGUGUAGCGGUGAAAUGCGUAGAUAUGUGGAGGAACACCUGUGGCGAAGGCGACUUUCUGGACUGUAACUGACGCUGAGGCGCGAAAGCGUGGGGAUCAAACA
Molecule: ribosomal RNA, 427 nt
Filed under: uncultured bacterium
Lineage: Bacteria
Description: bacterial SSU rRNA
Rfam family: Bacterial small subunit ribosomal RNA
Source: RNAcentral